GAUGAACGCUGGCGGCGUGCCUAACACAUGCAAGUCGAGCGAGAAGCUCAUGACGGAAUCUUCGGAGGACGGAUUGAGUGGAAAGCGGCGGACGGGUGAGUAACGCGUGGGUAACCUGCCCUGUACAGAGGAAUAGCCAUUGGAAACGAUGAUUAAUGCCUCAUAAGACUACAGUAUCGCAUGAUACAGUAGCCAAAAACUCCGGUGGUACAGGAUGGACCCGCGUUAGAUUAGCUAGUUGGUAAGGUAAAGGCUUACCAAGGCGACGAUCUAUAGCCGACCUGAGAGGGUGAUCGGCCACACUGGAACUGAGACACGGUCCAGACUCCUACGGGAGGCAGCAGUGGGGAAUAUUGCACAAUGGGCGAAAGCCUGAUGCAGCGACGCCGCGUGAACGAUGAAGGCUUUCGAGUCGUAAAGUUCUGUUCUUGGGGAAGAUAACGACGGUACCCAAGGAGAAAGCACCGGCUAAAUACGU
This 478-nucleotide ribosomal RNA is filed under the name uncultured bacterium. RNAcentral describes it as "bacterial SSU rRNA". It matches the Rfam family "Bacterial small subunit ribosomal RNA", at positions 28 to 506 of the family's 1533-position model. The record is from RNAcentral.